GGUAUUGGGCCGAGUAAAUGUAUAGGUAGUGUGCGCAUCCUGGUGUGCCCUGCUAUGAAUGGGCGUCAAGUGGCGUCAUUUGAAAAAGAAAGAAAGGGCCUGUGAGGAGAUGCCCAGAGACAGAUGCUUAAGGGGGAGGCAUGAGAGGAAGGAGGUCUGCUGUCUGCUCAGCAAGAACAAGAAGCCAUCAGUUCAACAUGAGCCUCAUCCAAACAGUCCGCUCGGUUUGGGAGGCGGUGAAAAGUCAGCCAUCAGCGUAUCGGCGUCGUUCAUCACACGCACCAUCAAGUGACACCAAAGCCUGCAAAGACUGAUGAAACAACGAGAGCUGCGGUAGAGGCGUCAGAAGGCAGCACAUCAACGCAAAAUAAGACGUUGACGGGCGCAUCCUUCGAAAGUUGGCCAGCACCCGGCUGCACAUCCGGCUGCGCUGGCUUAACCGCCAGAAGGACAGGGACGCGGCGCAGAGACGCCGUGACAAGCAGCUGUGCCAGCAUGCCGCGAGUCGCUAAUAAUGUUAAGAAGUGUUCGUGCCGCUGCUUCGAAUAGCAACACCGAUUAGGCUUUUUGGUUAGUGCCCGUGUUUGUGCUGUUUAGAAUAAGGACACCGCCCCAAGAGCUGAUGCCUGCUAGCGUGCACUUGUAUACUUGUAUAUACUAUGAUACUGUGAUACUUGUGUGCGAGUGUUUGUUUAACGUGAGUGUUUGAGUGUAUGGUAGCCCUUGGUUCUUGUUUAUAAUAAGGUUGCUGAAAACUGUCUCAGUUGGUGGUCUAGUCUUUUAUUGCGUGUUGCUGAGAAGGACUCUGGGUCCUCGCCACAAAUUGUUAUGAUUACUCUUGAGUGUCUUUACCAUAGUUAAGAUAUUAAAUGUGUGGCCGAGUGCUCUGUAUGUCAUUUUGUGUACGGUGUGCGGCCCCUUGUU
Molecule: long non-coding RNA, 924 nt
Organism: Pollicipes pollicipes
Lineage: Eukaryota; Metazoa; Arthropoda; Thecostraca; Pollicipedomorpha; Pollicipedidae
Exons: 3
Source: RefSeq, a predicted model, not a curated record